Molecule: long non-coding RNA, 804 nt
Filed under: Homo sapiens (human)
Lineage: Eukaryota; Metazoa; Chordata; Mammalia; Primates; Hominidae
Description: HSALNT0336540
Source: RNAcentral
UUCCCACCUCAGCAUCUUGAGGAGCUGGAACUACAGCUUCUAUAUCUGAUACUCAGGCAAUGCAUGUGCAAGAGCUCUCUACAUCUUGAUGAGGAGAACUGUCCCUACCUUAACUGACAAAAAGCAUCAUGAAUGCCUGAAGGAAGAAAUAUCCUUGAGGACAAGCAGAGACAAAGUGGAUAGGCAGGACUCCCAUUUCCAGCCCUGGAAACUCUGCUCUGUAACUCAGCCAAAGAAGAUGCCACAUUUCUAUGGUUAUUCAGCAGCCCUGUGCUGUAGGAGGUUUGUCCCACAGGCCCCUGGGCAUGAACUGCUAGCCAGCCUCCCACACUGCCAGAAUAUUUUUUGGGGGACCUCCCUCAUUCAGGAAAGGCAGCUCUCUGAUUGUUUACUAGAGCUGAGGCAAACAUAGGCUUAAGGUGCACCUAGAGCCAAAAAGGAGUCAGUGACUGGGCAGUAAAGAACCUGUAAGCAAAUCUAUCCAAUAAAACAAACAAACAAACAAACUGAACAGAGAAGACUGGAACGAAUAACUAAUCCUUCAAAGCAAAGACAUAGAUGUGCAUCCACAAGAAACAACAGCACACAGAGAACCAUGGACUGAUUCCAGGCCUAGGCCCUUGGAUAGCAUUUCUGGACCUACUCUGAAGCAGAAAAGAGCCCACAGGCCUGGCAGCAUUCACCACAAGCUGACUGAAGAGAUGUUGGUCUUUAAGUGAACAUUGUUAGUGGCCUGGUAGAACUCCCCAUGGGCCACUGGUGGUCGUGGCCACAGGGAGAGGCUUCUCUGGCUGUGAAAAAGGG